Molecule: ribosomal RNA, 405 nt
Filed under: uncultured fungus
Lineage: Eukaryota; Fungi
Description: eukaryotic LSU rRNA
Source: RNAcentral
AGAGUUAAACAGUGCGUGAAAUUGUUGAAAGGGAAACGCUUGACACCAGUCAUGCGAGCGGAAAAUCAGUCUUUUGCAGUGGGGAGUUGUGUGGGUUCGGACCGCAAGGCCGGCCUGCGCUGCAUCUCUGCUGUAAGUGAUGCACUUUUUCGUUUGCAGGCCAACAUCAGUUUGCUCUGCUGGACAAAACUCCAAGGGAAGGUGGCAGCUUAGGCUGUGUUAUAGCCCUGGAGCGAUACAGUGGAGUGGACUGAGGUUUCGCAGUGUGUGCUUUCGGGCAAGGCUGACUGGGUGCUAUGGGAUCGUUCGGCGUACAAUGCAUGCAUUUUGCGCUGUGUCUUUUUCAUACUCGCUCAACUCGGCUCUUCCACGCUUAGGAUGUUGACUUAAUGGUUUUAAACGACC